Molecule: ribosomal RNA, 497 nt
Filed under: uncultured bacterium
Lineage: Bacteria
Description: partial 16S ribosomal RNA
Rfam family: Bacterial small subunit ribosomal RNA
Source: RNAcentral
GAUGAACGCUGGCGGCGUGCCUAAUACAUGCAAGUCGAGCGAACAGACGAGGAGCUUGCUCCUUUGACGUUAGCGGCGGACGGGCGAGUAACACGUAGGUAACCUACCUAUAAGACUGGGAUAACUUCGGGAAACCGGAGCUAAUACCGGAUAAUAUUUCGAACCGCAUGGUUCGAUAGUGAAAGAUGGCUUUGCUAUCACUUAUAGAUGGACCUGCGCCGUAUUAGCUAGUUGGUAAGGUAACGGCUUACCAAGGCAACGAUCCGUAGCUGACCUGAGAGGGUGAUCGGCCACACUGGAACUGAGACACGGUCCAGACUCCUACGGGAGGCAGCAGUAGGGAAUCUUCCGCAAUGGGCGAAAGCCUGACGGAGCAACGCCGCGUGAGUGAUGAAGGUCUUCUGAUCGUAAAACUCUGUUAUUAGGGAAGAACAAACGUGUAAGUAACUGUGCACGUCUUGACGGUACCUAAUCAGAAAGCCACGGCUAACUACGUG